AAAAUAUUUUAGAUUUAAUUACAGUUUUAUUAUAUUACAAACUAUCUAUUGACAACUUAAAGUCAUAAGCAACUAUCAAAUUACAGUUCAUCGAAUUAUAAUGAAAUACUGUAAUUAUCAUUGUCAGACUUGCUAAACUGUGAAAACUAAAAUUGAGAUCGAUUCCAGAUUUUGUUUAACAGCACAUAAAAAUGAUAUACAGUACUGUAUUAGAACAAAAUCCUGCUGCCCCGGUUGACUUUUUAAAAAAUUUCUAUUCCAUUUCUGCAUAACAAUUGACCAACUACUUGAGCAAUAACUAAUUUCGUAAUAACAUAAAUAUAUAAUAAUCCAUUACUAAAUAUAAAUGCCUGUUAAUUUUACUUUCUUACUGAUCUUCAGGUCUUUACAAUUAUGGACUACAAAGCAACAAAAUACUGUAAAAUAUAAAUCUUUAAAUGAAAUUAUUUCUCUGAAUCUACAAUUUCAUAUCUUUCUCUCCUUUUGCAUGUUAUUACUGAUAGUUCAACUUAAUCUCAUGAAUCCGUUAACUUUUUCAGUACAUUCAAAUUGACAUUUAAU
RNAcentral lists this long non-coding RNA (561 nucleotides) under Androctonus crassicauda. Lineage: Eukaryota; Metazoa; Arthropoda; Arachnida; Scorpiones; Buthidae. The record is from RNAcentral.